This is a long non-coding RNA of Rosa chinensis, 844 nucleotides long. RefSeq lists it as uncharacterized. The record is from RefSeq and is a predicted model, not a curated record. NCBI's taxonomy places the organism in Eukaryota, Viridiplantae, Streptophyta, Magnoliopsida, Rosales, Rosaceae. The transcript is spliced from 2 exons.
AACUGUUCAAUCAAAAUUUCAAAGCUCAAAUUUUCUCUCUUUUGAUCAGAAAGCUUGAUUCGAUUUGAUCGAAGAUUCUCUCUCCGCCGCCAACUUCCGAUUGUGCUUUGUCGGUCUACGACGAUAUAUAAUCUCGGUUUUGGAGCUUCAAUCCACAGCUUUGUUAUCUUUUUCUCGAUCUCUGGCUUCAUCGCUCUUCACCUUAAUCACGUCACUUCUUCUUCUUCUUCUUCUUCUUCUUCUUCUUCGUCUUCCGCUGCGAUCAAGCCGAAACACGUCGUCGUCGGCAACAAUGGAAAGAUUGAAAUUGCAGGGAUCAUAUUCUGAACAAGGUGGGGUCCUACUGAUUCAGCCAGAAGGCCACCUAGGAGAUCUCCUCCGGUGAUGACAUCAACGGAAUUUAUGAUGAUAUGAACUUAGGAUUUUACCUUUUUGCAUAUGAUGACAUUGGGCAUUUCCUGCGAAAAGGUCUGCGACUCAUCUAGUCACAUUUGCAGUUUCACUCGGGUUAUCAGUAAGCACCCAGUCUUUUGGACAGCAGCCCUACUUUUUCCGAGUCUUUGUUUCUCCCAAAGGAAGAAAUGAGUACGUGAUGUGCUAGGUUAACUCACUGUAAUUAUCAAAAUGUACUGAAAUCUGAAAAGUAUAUUGGAAACCAGUCCAACAAUACCAUAGAAGGGCUGAAGAAAUAAUGAGGAUUGUCUCAGCUCGAUUGGAUUGGAAGGGAAUUUUGUAUUUGCUCCAAAAUGCUUUAGGCUGUGGAAUAAUGUUGAUGUUGUAUUACUCAUACUUUUGUAUCUGAAGUGCACUUUUAUAGCUGGAAUAAAGAGAGAAAUUACCAGAA